AGCAACAUUACAGUUAUGAAGUAGCAACGAAAAUCAUUUUAUGGUUGGGUCACAACAUGAGGAACUGUAUUUAAAGGGCCAGAAGGUUGAGAACCACUGGCCCUAGGAUGAAUCUUUUUCUGUGUGCAGAUGUGUUCUGUGUAUUUUAGGACUCUGGGCCAACCCACUAAAUAGCAACAGCACCUCUAUUUGUGCGACAACUGAAACUGCUCCUGUAUUUCCAACACCUCUCGAAGGACAGGAUACCUGGACAUCCAUCAUCUGCUUCCAACCUGAGUUCCCUCCUCACCCAACCACACCCUUGGUUACAUUCUCCUGACUGCCAGCAAGCCCGGCUUCUUGCUGGGAAGUCAUUCCGGGAUAAUUUUAUUUGAAUCUACUAAUUUCUUUUCACUCAAAAUUGCGAAGAUAAAGAAACAUAAAAUAUGAGGCAAAGGGAAGAUGGUCUAAGAAUUUGUGUCUUCAGGUUUUUACUGGCAUAACAACCCUUUCAAGCCUGGAGCUACUCCAAACUGAAGGAUGAAAAUGAGAAGAAAAACGUAUUGCAAACAGGCCCGGUGGUACAUGUGCUCCAGCAGGAGCUGGUUGUAGCAAAUCCUUUCACUUCAAACCUGCAUGGAUAUGUUAGACCUUAUUUGGAAGUAAUUCAUUUCUGGUCAAUUCAACCCAACAUUAUGCCAACUUUUGCAUUUAUUGUAGACACUAUUUUAAGUACUAGAGAUUAAAUUUUCAUCACCAAAACAUGAAAAUAGCAGCUACUGCCCUAACCGGUUUGGCUCAGUGGAUAGAGCGUCAGCCUGUGUACUGAAGGGUCCCAGGUUCGAUUCC
Molecule: long non-coding RNA, 828 nt
Organism: Myotis lucifugus (little brown bat)
Lineage: Eukaryota; Metazoa; Chordata; Mammalia; Chiroptera; Vespertilionidae
Exons: 3
Source: RefSeq, a predicted model, not a curated record